GCGGGCGUAGUCUAGUGGUUAGGACUGAAGCUUCCCAAGCUUCUAGCCCGGGUUCGAAUCCCGGCGCCCGCA
This 72-nucleotide transfer RNA is filed under the name Methanomassiliicoccales archaeon RumEn M1. It matches the Rfam family "tRNA". Rfam says of the family: Transfer RNA (tRNA) molecules are approximately 80 nucleotides in length. Their secondary structure includes four short double-helical elements and three loops (D, anti-codon, and T loops). RNAcentral also lists the same sequence under 2 other names. The record is from Rfam by way of RNAcentral. Lineage: Archaea; Methanobacteriati; Thermoplasmatota; Thermoplasmata; Methanomassiliicoccales.